AGACCCCAUGGAGCUUUAAACCCAACGACACCCAUUUUCUUUAUACCCUAGUAUUCAUUUGGCUAUGUUUGAUUGGUUUUAGGUUGGGGUGACCACGGAGCAUAAAAUAACCUCCACGAAGAAGAGACUAAUAAUCUUUAUCAAAGAAGUACACUUCUAAGAAUUAACAAAUUAAUUUCCAAUGAUCCGAUAUUCGAUCAACGAACCAAGUUACCCUGGGGAUAACAGCGCAAUCCACCUCAAGAGCUCCUAUCGACAGGUGGGUUUACGACCUCGAUGUUGGAUCAGGAUAUCCCAGUGGUGUAGCAGCUACUAAAGGUUCGUUUGUUCAACGAUUAA
RNAcentral lists this ribosomal RNA (339 nucleotides) under Boophis andohahela. RNAcentral's name for it is "partial 16S ribosomal RNA". It matches the Rfam family "Bacterial large subunit ribosomal RNA", at positions 2086 to 2591 of the family's 2925-position model. The record is from RNAcentral. Lineage: Eukaryota; Metazoa; Chordata; Amphibia; Anura; Mantellidae.